This 77-nucleotide transfer RNA is filed under the name Bdellovibrionales bacterium CG11_big_fil_rev_8_21_14_0_20_38_13. Its description in RNAcentral is "tRNA-His". It matches the Rfam family "tRNA". Rfam says of the family: Transfer RNA (tRNA) molecules are approximately 80 nucleotides in length. Their secondary structure includes four short double-helical elements and three loops (D, anti-codon, and T loops). RNAcentral also lists the same sequence under 2 other names. The record is from RNAcentral. Lineage: Bacteria; Pseudomonadati; Bdellovibrionota; Bdellovibrionia; Bdellovibrionales.
GUGGCCAUAGCUCAGUUGGUUAGAGCAUCGGAUUGUGAUUCCGAGGGUCGGGGGUUCAAGUCCCCUUGGCCACCCCA